CAUUCAGGAACUUACACUUCACACGGAUUUAUUAUUAAUAUUUGUGUUUGCCUAAUUUGCCUAACUCUCCUGUCAUCGCAAGCUCUGAUCUGCUCACAGCAGCUAGUAAACAGAGAGAGAGAGAGACAGAGAGAGAGAGAGAGCCUGUAAAUGGCUUGCGAUCGUUUAAGAAACUCCGGCGGAAUGUCCUGCGGCUGCUCGCGAGGUUUAAAGUUCCGCGCUUUGAUCCCGCCGCUGCUGGCGCCAAAAAACAACAUCACCGAGACUAAUAAUUACCCCGUUAAAACACUAAUCACCACUGAUUGAAUAUGUUCAGCAAUUACUGAAGCUGAUACUGUAGAGACACAUCGCGGUGUUUAUAUUUGAUUUUUUUGCGCGUUCUCUAUAGUAGAAGUUAGGGGGGGAAAUCCGGGUUUCUCCUUCCUGAUCUCAGGAUUUUUUGACAUGAAGAGAAAAAAAAACAGGCAAGCAGCAAAAGAAUGUGUCAAAAUAAAUGAAAUAUUGUAGUCACAAACAGUAUUGUCACUGCAGUUAUUUAUUGUUAAUUUGAUAACAUUUGAAAAGUUGGCUGCAUUACACAAUGCAGUAUCCUCCUUUAUCUUUCGCUGUUUUUGAUGCAAUACUCAACACAGAUACACAAACGCAACAGACACAACAGUCAAACUUCAGGAGAAACUUAAGCCCCGCCCCGCUCUGUUCUGAUUGGAUGACGCGCGUGUUAUUAGCUUACAGAGGAGUUAAACAGCAGCAUGUUCUAAGCAUCCGAUCUCUCACUCUAUACUAAAAACCAAGUGAAACUCGUGCAUGGCCCCAGUCAUCACCAUGACGUCUACUGGUUUUAAAGCUGAAGAUCAUUCCCGUGUGAUUUUAGGAGAUAAAGGAGAGAUGCAGACCAGCAUCGGUGUGGAGGAGGACGCAGAGAAACCGAAGAUUCUCCCGUUCAGCGUCGAGGCUCUGAUGGCAGAACGGAGACCGAGCUCCUCCGCCGGAGCGUCGCAUACUCCCGCGGAUCCGGAGCGGACCGGUGCUCGGUUGACGUUCUCUGUUGACGUUCUGAAAUUGUCGGAAAAGUCGGAGCAGAGCGCAUGGAUGCAUCACCUCUCUCCCCGGCGUCUCAGUCCUCCCGCGUGUCCUCUGAGAAAACACAAAACCAACCGAAAGCCUCGGACCCCGUUCAGCACGGCGCAGCUGCUGGCGCUGGAGCGGAAGUUCCGUCAGAAACAGUACCUGUCCAUCGCAGAACGGGCCGAGUUCUCCAGCUCGCUGAACCUGACCGAGACUCAGGUGAAGAUCUGGUUCCAGAACAGAAGAGCUAAAGCCAAGCGGCUCCAGGAGGCCGAACUCGAGAAGUUAAAAAUGGCCACUAAACCGAUGCUUCCUCCCGCCUUCGGGAUUUCAUUCCCAGUCGGCGCUCACGUUCCGGCUUCAUACACCGGCUCGCAUCCGUUUCACAGACACUCGGUGAGCGUGACUCCGGUGGGACUCUACACACACAUGGGAUAUAGCAUGUACCAUUUAGCUUAAAGGACGACCCAGUGCAUCUGAUGUGACUUUCUCUCCAUCUUCAGCAAUUCUGUUCCGAUAAAAGCGGACAUGGUUUACUCUAAUGGUGGCAUUUCACACGGCCUGCACUUUCACAGAGAGUUAUGAAAACGGAUUUGGUCAAAGCUGUAAUUCCCGAGUGCCAGUGAAUUCAGGAAGAGAACAGGCAAUUUGUUCCAUCUUCUCAGGAAACAGGACAAGGUUACCAAAUGUUCCAGGCAUUGUUUCCAGAUCUGCAUGCUCAGUCAAAUCUGGAGCUCUCCAGUACAAUGCCUGCCACGAAAAUAAAGCCAAAUCUCUGUGUGAAGGAUGGCUGAUUUAUAUCUCUCUCAUGACAGUCCGUUCUGUAACUAAUUUAACGAGUCGCUCCACACACAGCGACAGACGAAUGCGAAUCCACUGCCAAACCGAGUCGAGAAGUAGGUCAUGUUUGUCUCCAGGUGCUACAAGAAACAUCACUGCUGCACACAACCAUCUCAGACUGUUUCCAUAAGAAGAGGACCAGUAUAAAAACACUCAACAUUCACUACAAAAAUAAUGGAGUACUUCUUUAAUUCAAUGUUGCUUGCUUACUGUGUGAAAUUUGCUAGCAAUCUGUGAAAAUUGUUUCUAGACCAACUUUAUUUCAGUGUAAAAAAAAAUCACACAAACUCGUAUGUAUUUUAUUAAUAAAAUAUUUUACUAUUUCA
Onychostoma macrolepis is the source of this 2231-nucleotide RNA transcript. It is a transcript of the gene named muscle segment homeobox 1a, with no coding region annotated. The transcript has 3 exons. The record is from RefSeq and is a predicted model, not a curated record. NCBI's taxonomy places the organism in Eukaryota, Metazoa, Chordata, Actinopteri, Cypriniformes, Cyprinidae.